Molecule: long non-coding RNA, 592 nt
Filed under: Nicotiana benthamiana
Lineage: Eukaryota; Viridiplantae; Streptophyta; Magnoliopsida; Solanales; Solanaceae
Description: long non-coding RNA (NBEN_LNC036216)
Source: RNAcentral
CAUAAACAGUAUGUAUCAUUAUUAGUAAAAUAAGAUAUUAAGGAAAUAUAACACCAACUAAUGCUAUCAAUAAGGUCAAUCUGUCAAAACAACAAGCAAACUGGAAAGGAACGAGAUCGUCAAACUCCAUCACUGGCGUAAUUUUCCUUUCCCCUCCCAUCUUUUCAUGUAAUAAAACAAUUCAAAAAACAUAAAGUAUGAAUAAGUGGAUUCGAAGCAAAAAUUUGAAUAUUUUAAUACAUAAAAUUUAUUUUGCAUGUGUGCACAUAAUACAAAUCACCAAAAAGUUAGUAUAUAUAUGCAGAAUCUGUCUUAAAUGCAAUAUGAGAACACAGUCAGCCAGCAUAUUAAUCAGAUUUCUCGAGGCACCGCCCUUUAUGAUAUCUCACCACAAUCGAAAGGCUAACCUUUAGCAUCAACCGAGGAGCCGAAAUAUAUUUGGCAGUUGGCUGUUUGCCACUUGGCAGAGCUGCCCUUAUUACAAGUGGUUUAAUCUAUUCUCCGCUUGAGUCACCAAUCUCUUUAUUCUCCAUUAAACUAAUAGUUUAUUCGUACCCGACGUUACGUUGUAAAAGAAAUAUCAUCAGUUCAC